GUUGCAACUCUUAUAUAAGUCCAUUAUUUUUCUGUAUCCAAGACUGGACAGGAUGGAAGCAAAGAGGGUGCCUGAGGGAUACACAAGUCAGAAACCAAUGGCUGCAAGACCAGAGAUGCAGAAUCCUCCAAGGAGAGGGCAGUCUGGAUCCUGGGGACCUCCUCUGUUAACUGGACGAUUUUGCAUGCCCUACCCUAGAGGCGCCCCGCCCCCAUAGACUAUUAGGCACAUCCACCUCCUGAACCUUGGUGGCCCUGGGGCCACCCCAAACCCCUCCACCUGCAACACUUGGGCCUUUAGCAGAUCCAGAAGCAGGUGUCACUUCCAAGAGUGACAUCAACACUGGCUCUACCAAAACUGCCAAGAAGCAUAAGGCCAUUAUGUAUGCAAGAGGGCCUGUUCCUUUCCCAGGAUUGCCUUGCAGGCUCUAUCCCAUGGACCGCCCUUCACUUCCAGUCAUGGGCUAUGGGCCACCUCCCUCUCUUCCACCUACUCUAUUUGCUAAGAUGACCUGAACUGGAUGAGUGGAUGGACAACUAUUCUGAAAUUUGAAGAGGACUGUGCAUGGAGACAGACUAUGGUGAUUACAUAUACAUUUUAAGCAGGUGUCAGAUCUGCCUGAAUGCUUUCCCUGCCCAUCCUGUCUGCUCCACUCUGUCGUUCCUACUGUCCGCUAAUCCACCUUUCAUCGUUCUAUCUCUGUGACAGCGUCUGCUUCUAGGACCAUCUACUCUCACUCCCCAUCGAGUGCACGCAGUGGGGUUCCUGUACACACAGGUAACAAAGUGUUACCAGAAAUGGUGGUGACAGAGGAAAGAAGCAAGAUCACCCUUUGUGCAGGGGAGCCCGAGGGAGUU
This is a long non-coding RNA of Felis catus (domestic cat), 857 nucleotides long. RefSeq lists it as uncharacterized. The record is from RefSeq and is a predicted model, not a curated record. Lineage: Eukaryota; Metazoa; Chordata; Mammalia; Carnivora; Felidae. The transcript is spliced from 5 exons.